This 604-nucleotide long non-coding RNA is filed under the name Vulpes vulpes (red fox). RNAcentral's name for it is "lncRNA (ENSVVUG00000021460.1)". Lineage: Eukaryota; Metazoa; Chordata; Mammalia; Carnivora; Canidae. The record is from RNAcentral.
CCUAGACAUUUGGGAUCAGCCAAAAAUACAGGCUUUUUCAUUUUUUACUGAUCAUCCCAGUACCAGGGGAAACACCAAAUAUACAAGUGGUUUUCUCAGCUUCUAAUUUAACAGAAUCACAUUUGUUAUUGUGUUAACAUUCUUCCCAUGGGUGCUUGAAGCCUGUCUCAGCAGAGCCUAAAGUGGCAGGAAUGGUGACCAUAUAUUGUGUUUUCUGUUUGUUUCACAGGUGUGUGUCAUGUCCCAUCUUGAGGCUAUAGGCUGUAUCUCAUAUUGCUGUGUUCUGAAGCGCUUGGGGUGAAGUGUGAUAUGAUUCAGUAUUAGGCUAUACUGCUUACGAGGCUUAGCACUUUGAAGAAUGGGGGAUUGGAGAACCUGAUCAAAUAUAAAGACUACCAGGGUGGACUGAGUCUUUGAAAAGCCAAGUCACCAUUCCAGCCUUCAGGACAGAUGAAAAAUCUCUAUACUUUUCCACCGUAGAAUCUAGGUAUAUGAUUAGGAACCUGGAUUUUCUGACUUCUGGGUCCCUUCCAGACUUCCUGAGUCUGAAUUUCUGAGUAACCAUAAGAAUAAAUCACUAAAAAGGGGGAUAUGGUGACUGAUG